This 301-nucleotide ribosomal RNA is filed under the name uncultured bacterium. RNAcentral's name for it is "partial 16S ribosomal RNA". It matches the Rfam family "Bacterial small subunit ribosomal RNA", at positions 509 to 807 of the family's 1533-position model. The record is from RNAcentral.
CAGUCGCCGCGGGAAUACGGAGGGAGCUAGCGUUGUUCGGAAUCACUGGGCGUAAAGCGCACGUAGGCGGCUAUUCAAGUCAGGGGUGAAAGCCCGGGGCUCAACCCCGGAACUGCCUUUGAAACUAGAUAGCUUGAAUCUUGGAGAGGCGAGUGGAAUUCCGAGUGUAGAGGUGAAAUUCGUAGAUAUUCGGAAGAACACCAGUGGCGAAGGCGACUCGCUGGACAAGUAUUGACGCUGAGGUGCGAAAGCGUGGGGAGCAAACAGGAUUAGAUACCCCAGUAGUCCCUGUCUCUUAUAC